GCGGCUUAAUUUGACUCAACGCGGGGUAAUUUACCAGGUAUAACAUGGUAUAAUAUUUUAUCAUGAUAGUGGUGCAUGGCCGUUUCCAAUGGAUGCUGUGAAGUAAUGAUUAAUUUCAACAAGAUGUGAGACCCUCAUUUAGACAGAUGUAGUGAUACAUAUGAAGGAGAGGAUUAAAACAGGUCCGUUAUGCCCUAAGAUAAUCUGGGUUGCACGCGCAAUACAAUAAUAUUUGAUAUUAUAAGGGAUAAUAUAAUGUAAGAUAUAUUUGAACAUGGAAUUGCUAGUAAAUUUUAUUAAAUAAGUAGAAUUGAAUGAGUCCCUGUUCUUUGUACACACCGCCCGUCGCUAUCUAAGAUGGUAUUAUCUAUGAACAAAUUUAUAAAGUGAAUAGAUAGUACUAGAUCUGAUAUAAGUCGUAACAUGGUUGCUGUUGGAGAACCAUUAGCAGGAUCAUAA
This 459-nucleotide ribosomal RNA is filed under the name Nosema bombycis. RNAcentral's name for it is "SSU rRNA". It matches the Rfam family "Microsporidia small subunit ribosomal RNA", at positions 819 to 1311 of the family's 1311-position model. The record is from RNAcentral. Lineage: Eukaryota; Fungi; Microsporidia; Nosematidae.